This 777-nucleotide ribosomal RNA is filed under the name uncultured Neocallimastigales. RNAcentral's name for it is "partial large subunit ribosomal RNA". It matches the Rfam family "Eukaryotic large subunit ribosomal RNA", at positions 26 to 643 of the family's 3401-position model. Lineage: Eukaryota; Fungi; Neocallimastigomycota; Neocallimastigomycetes; Neocallimastigales. The record is from RNAcentral.
CGUCUAUAUACGUAUAGCAUAUCAAUAAGCGGAGGAAAAGAAACUAACUAGGAUUCCCUUAGUAACGGCGAGUGAAGCGGGAAGAGCUCAAAUUUGAAAUCUUCAAGGUUCUACCUUGACGAAUUGUAGUUUAAAGAAGUGUUUUCUGUUGGAGUUUUGGUAAAAGUUCUUUGGAAUAGGACAUCAUAGAGGGUGAGAAUCCCGUAUUUGACCAUUUCUUCCAGCUGUGUGAUACACUUUCAAAGAGUCGGAUUGUUUGGGAAUGCAGUCCAAAAUGGGUGGUAAAUUUCAUCUAAAGCUAAAUAUUGGCGAGAGACCGAUAGCGAACAAGUACCGUGAGGGAAAGAUGAAAAGAACUUUGAAAAGAGAGUUAAACAGUACGUGAAAUUGUCAAAAGGGAAGCGUUUGACACCAGUGUUGUUUUUCCGAAAAUCAAUUACGAAUGUUUUAUUUUUGAGAAGUUAUGACUUCAUCGGCUUGCUUCUUUCUUUACUGAAACUUUCCUUAAUGCACUUUUCGGUUAACAAGUCAACAUCAAUUUCUUUUGUUGUAAAAGGGUAUGAGGAAGGUGGCUUUCUUUUCGGAGAAAGUGUUUAUAGCCUUGUACCUCUGCAAUCGGAGAGAUUGAGGUCUGCAGCGUAGAUCCUUCGGGGUUAGAUACAUUUGUGCUAAGUUAUAGCUUUUCAUAGACAACUUGUUGACUAUGUUUAGUCUUGCUAGCUUACUCGCUUAUGCUAUUUUACCUACGCUUAGGAUGUUGACACACGCGCGUGCUCG